RNAcentral lists this ribosomal RNA (275 nucleotides) under uncultured bacterium. Its description in RNAcentral is "partial 16S ribosomal RNA". It matches the Rfam family "Bacterial small subunit ribosomal RNA", at positions 338 to 630 of the family's 1533-position model. The record is from RNAcentral.
CCUACGGGUGGCUGCAGUGGGGAAUCUUGCACAAUGGGGGAAACCCUGAUGCAGCGACGCCGCGUGAGCGAUGAAGCCCUUCGGGGUGUAAAGCUCUUUCGACGGGAACGAUAAUGACGGUACCCGGAGAAGAAGCUGCGGCUAACUACGUGCCAGCAGCCGCGGUAAUACGUAGGCAGCAAACGUUGUUCGGAAUUACUGGGCGUAAAGAGUGUGUAGGCGGUUGGGUAAGUUUGGUGUGAAAUCUCCCGGCUUAACUGGGAGGGUGCGCCGAA